UACUUUAUAAUUUAAUUAAAAAUAUUAGUUUUGUAAACUAAUUAUGUCCUAGGACUGGAGUAU
Molecule: transfer RNA, 63 nt
Filed under: Calanus hyperboreus
Lineage: Eukaryota; Metazoa; Arthropoda; Copepoda; Calanoida; Calanidae
Description: tRNA-Thr
Source: RNAcentral